Molecule: long non-coding RNA, 865 nt
Organism: Octodon degus (degu)
Lineage: Eukaryota; Metazoa; Chordata; Mammalia; Rodentia; Octodontidae
Exons: 4
Source: RefSeq, a predicted model, not a curated record
GUUUUACAAGAAGUUAAAAAAAGAGAGCAGCUCCUCCUCUUUGCACAUGCUGAAGACUAUGUGGAGUAGGUGCCAUUUCCACCUGAAGAGGGAUUUGGACAUGGAGAGCUAAAAGCUGGGGCCAAGGAUCCCUGGAGCCUACCCUGCAACGAGGGAGCUUAGAGGAGCCGUCCUGCUUUCCUCCUUCACAGCUCCGCUGGGCUGAGUCGUGACUGCAGCACAGAUGAAAGGCUGCUGCCUCUCUGCCUCAUCCCUGCCGAGCGGAAUGUGGCUCGCUGCAGAUAAAUGUUGACUUAUGGUUUGAGCGGCUUAUUAUCUGUCACGGCGCCUUCAAAUGGCAGCCAGAAGCUGUCGCCAUCACAUCACUGCCUGUGUUUUAUAAACCAGGAGACAGAUGUGCAGAGAACUGAAGGUGCUGAGUUGAGAUGACACAGCCGGGAAGCAGGAGACAGGGUCCAAAGCCGAGCUAUAAAUAUGGAUGAAACUUCUCCUGCGGGCCUGCCCCUCUGUUCCUGCUGCACCCCUCAGUUCCUAACAGGUUGCAGGCAGUGCCAGUGACCCAGGGGUUCAGAGCCCUUCCGUAGAGUUGCCUGGACACCCGAGGCUCCUGCAGAACUUUCUCCAUAGCCACGCUGUCCGGCCAGCCUGGAUGCGCAUCACCGGAUGAAUGGGUUCAGGAAGUGUGCUGUGUGUGAGGAGUGAGGUGUUAGCCACCCAUCCAGAAGAACGAAGCCAUGACAUUUGCGGGAAAAGGAAUGAACCUAGAGGACAUCAUGUUCAGAGAAAUAUGCCAGGCCCAAGCGCAAGAUGCCAAGUUCAAUCCCCAGUACCACACGCCCAGCUGGCCCAGAACCUUGGUGUGGUG